RNAcentral lists this long non-coding RNA (39503 nucleotides) under Jatropha curcas. RNAcentral describes it as "long non-coding RNA (JCUR_LNC001589)". Lineage: Eukaryota; Viridiplantae; Streptophyta; Magnoliopsida; Malpighiales; Euphorbiaceae. The record is from RNAcentral.
GUUGGGAUAUCCUCCCAAGUCCCACAUCGGAUAAAGAGGAGAAGUGGAACCAAAAUAUAAUGGUUCAAACCCAACCCAUUAGUAUGAGGCCUUUUGGGAGGUGCCCAAAAACAAAUCCGUGAGGGCUUGGCCCAAAGCGGACAAUAUCAUACUAAUUCGGGGUUGGAUGGUACGCGCGGUCCUAUCAAAGUGGUAUCAAAGCCCUGGUUCGGAGCGGGUGUGAACUGCGCAGAUGUGAGAAAAUCUCGGUGUGACGUUGUAACAACAGGACCAAGACUAGAAGAAGAUCUGCAAGUGGUGCCUUGUGUCGAAAGUCUUCCCGAUAAGAGGAGGUCGGGCGGCGUGUCCCGCAAAGUUGUAGCGGCGGUACAAGAUGGUGGGCAGAUUAUCCCUGGAGGGGAGGUCACGAUUUGUGUGGUCCUUGAUUGGAGGGGAGGUUUGUUGGGAUAUCCUCCCAAGUCCCACAUCGGAUAAAGAGGAGAAGUGGAACCAAAAUAUAAUGGUUCAAACCCAACCCAUUAGUAUGAGGCCUUUUGGGAGGUGCCCAAAAACAAAUCCGUGAGGGCUUAAGCGGACAAUAUCAUACUAAUUCGGGGUUGGAUGGUACGCGCGGUCCUAUCAGACACCACCAAUAAUGUUAUGUCUACAAAUUUUUUGACACCACCAAUUUUUUGACAUCAUAGUAGAUAAACAUCCUCUAUUUUUUAUUUAUUUGUUCAUUAAUGUGCAACCUCAACAAUUGGGUUUGCAUAUUCACUAGGUUCAACCCAAAUCUAAAGUCAUCCUACAUAAGCCAUAAGACAUUAGAUCCUUUGCAUAAAACCCUAAAGACAUCCCUACCUUGCUAUACAUCUCUUUUUACCAUUUUUUUCUAACACAAAAAAUCUUGCUUCGGCUAUUGCUCACUUUCUUUGCAAAAAGGCAUAUAUUUUCUUUAAAAUAAGGCAUAUAUUUUCUAACACAAAAAAUUUUGUCUUGCUUUUAAUCAUUGGUUUCUUUUCAUCGAAUUGUCUUGCUUGAUUUCUUUUUAUUCUCUUUUAUUUAUUUAGAUUUUUUUUUAAAAUAAUUCUCUUUAUUGUCGUCUAAAUAAUGUAAGUUAACACAAUUUUAAUACUUAGUAUACAAUUCUUGUAGGACGAUACUCUACUCAUUCUUUAUUACUUGUCGCGAUUUACGAAAAAGCCUUUCAAAAAUCAUUAUACCCCUGCAAAUCCUCAAAAUUCUUGCAUUUUAUCCUUCUUUUUCUUUUAGAAGGCAUGGAUUUGCUACUUUUCAUAUUUGACUAAUUAAAUAUUGCGAUUUAUAGUAAAUUGCACAUUUAAUUUUUUUAUUUAUGUAGAAGAGAAUAAUUGAUUAGUAAUCUUAAGAUUAAUAGCUUAAUGAUGAUUCAAUAAUAUUAUUUAAUAUGUAUGUUGGAAUCAUAUAGUUAAUUUAUAUUUAUAAGAUUUUACUAAUAUUUUAUCCUUUGAAUACAUGAUAUAGAAAACACAAUUUAAAAUGAUGCACAAUUAUAUAGAAAUACUUUAACUCUCCUAAAUUUUUAAGUUUAAAAUGUGAAUUUAAAAAUAACUUCAACUUAUCAAUCAACUUGAUAUUGUUUCUAGCAAUUAUUAUAUCCUCAACAUAUACUAAGAGUGUUGUGAAACUUCUUGCUUUUGUUUAGUGAAGAGAGAAUAAUCAGAUUUGGACUAAUUAGAUCAAUAUAAUUUCAAACAGUUAGUAAACUUGGCAUUCCAUUGUCUAAAGACUUAUUUAAGCCAUAAAGAGACUUUUGCAAUUUGCAAGCGAAUCAUGAAUUAUAAAACUAAGAUUUCAAAUUAUUAAAGAUACAAAGCUCAAGUAUAUUCUUCUCCUAACGAGUUGUUAUCUUGAGAUGUUAGCUUACCCAUGAGCGAAUUUCACAUCAGAUAAGUGCAAAAGAAGUAUAAGUGUUAGCAUACCUUAGACUUAUAAGGGACAUUUUGAGGGUGAUGGAUUAUCAUUCUUAGAAAUAAAAAUUGUAUAGAUCCUAUCCAAAUCAAGGUUGAGAUAAAAUUGGCUUGAUUUAAAGUGAACAAGUUCUUGUAGGAAUAGGUUGUUACAAUUUGAUCCUCUAUUCGAAGGUGGAUAAAACCUCAAUUAAGCCAUUGAGUCUGGGUGAAGUAUAACAUCUGUACCUAAUAAGGUGCUAACUUAAGAUUUUAGCUUACCCUUAGGCAAAUCCCAAAUUAGAUAAGUGCAAAAAAGAGAGUGGAUAUAUAAGUGUUAACAUACAUUCAACUUGUAGGAGACCUUUGAGGGAGAUGGAUCAGAUUUAUCCAAAUCUAAAAAGGGUGGAAUUGAGCUUAAUCUAAAGUGGAGAAUAUCUUACAGGACAAGGUUAUUACAUUCCUAGAUUUCGUUGGAGAAUAUCAGAUUUAUAACACUUAUUUUUCAUGUGACGCAGGUUGCCAUAGUAACUACAUAUAACUUUGAUUUUAUCAUUUUUGUGUGAAGCAAGUAAAUUUCUUUGAGUUUCUUCUCUUAAAACUAUAUUAUACACUUGGUCAAGUGAUGAAAAUAGCUCCAUAAGAAUAAUAUGAGUUAUUAAAGCUUGAUAUGACUCAUUUAAGCUAUUCAAGAAACAAAACACAAUCUUUAAAUGACUAUCAACAAAUGAUUAAAGACUAUAAUGAUGUAAAUACUGAAAGUUUCUCAACUCCUCCACACAACAUUGAGUUCAAUAAAGUAAGGGUCUAUUGACUUUAUAUCUUAUGUGAUAAGCAUAAUAGACAGAGGGCUGAGCUAUGUAUUAAAGAAAGGGGCAAUUGGUCCCCUCUUGUUUUUUAAAACAAUUUUCCUUAACAACAUCAAUGUUUGAACCUUGCCAAACAUAAUUUUUAACAAAAUUUUCAAUAACCAUUUUGCUCCCUUGCAUCUUCACAUAAUUUUCUUUUAGUUAAAUUUUAUAGUAGUUUAUCCCCCCCUCCUUUCUAAAUCUUAGCUUUAUCCUUGAUAAGAGAUGUUACAAACGACCAAUCUUAGCUCCAUCAUAAAAAUCAUUUCUUCGAAGUAGCCAAACUUAGAUGAGCAUUCUCUAUAUAAAAAACUGCAGUAUGCUAUCAAUGGUGAAGUUGGACGAAGUUGCUAUGGAACUAGAAGCUUGUUACCACAAACCCAAGGAAGGUACAAUGGAUUUUGUAAAUCAGUUUGCACAAUAGUACCCUUACAGAAAAUCUUACUUAUUGCGAAUAGAAAUCUUAAGCAAAAUGAAUCAUUUUCGUGAAAUAUAAUUUGUAGAUAUCAACUUUGGAGUAAUAGUCACUGAUUAAUGGCCUCCAAAUGAUGGAGAUAAUAAGGAGAAGGAGGAUCCUAUGUUAGAAGAAUUUUAGUAGCUAUGAUUAAGAAACUCUAAAAUCAAACUUUGAAGAAAUGGAUGCUUGAUUGAAUGAAUUCAAGCUGCUUAGAGCCAAAUUGAAGAAAUUAAAUGGAUGCAAAACUGAAGAACUUGGUGAGAAAUAGAGUAUAUAUCAAUCAAAAUGAAGAGAGAAAACACAACAAAAAAUAGAUUGACAAAUUUAGAAUAAAAAUUUAAGUAGAGAAAGAUAAAAAAAAAAAAAAAAAACAAAGGCAUGAAUCAAGAGAAACCAUUGGAAUUUAGGGAGAAAAUUAGAAAUGUUGAUUAUCGUUCUUCAAGAAAGAGAGAAUAUGUAGGUUGGAAAUCAUAUGACUUUGAUACCAUGCAGCAAAGAGAAAUGAAAAAGAAAAAUAUCAUUUUGCCCUUCUAAUUUUAGUCAAAAUAUUUAUAUACAAGAUGCUUAUUUUAAUAACUAAGAGUAUUUAGCCAAGGCAUAAUGACUAAAAAAAAUUUGAACUUUGGCAUUUUUAACAAUUUUGACCAAUUCUUUUAAUUUCUACAACAAAUACUGUGAAGUAAUUUUUUCUUAAGAAUUGUGGCUUUUUUGUCCAUUAAUCGUUACUAUUAUGCUCAUGUGGCCAUUAAUGGGACCUCAUCAUGAUAUGUCAUAUGCUGACUGUAAAUUUGUAAGGUAUAAUUGUUAAAAGAAUUGGCCAAAAUUAUUAAAAAAAAGCCAAAGUUCAUGGUUUUCUUUAGUUAAUUUCAAGAAAAAAAAUUGAGUUUUUUUUAAUCAUUCGAAAUUGUCAACACUCAUGUUAUAAUAAUUAAAUAUUAAAUAAGAUCUAAAAAAUUCAAUAAAAUUAUUAACAUAGUGAGAGAGGGAAAACCAAAUGCUAUAUAAUUAAUCAAUCGUAGAUUCGCUUUAAUUUCAAAAGUGAUAAUAUUAUUUAUAAGAACCUCUUCAACAACAUUAUUGUCUUACUUAAACUUGUUCUUUUCUUUAGAAGGAUCAACAUCAAAUAUCUAUACACUAAUCUUUCUUGAAAAAUUUGUACAUGAACAUAAAUUUUUAUCGAUUUUUGUUAUUGAAAUUUAUAAUAUUUUAAUUGUAUAGUUUACACCUUUCGAAUUUUCAAGUUAUGAGCUCCUUUUCAAAUUUGUUUUUCUUCCUUUAUUUUGUGUCAUGUAAUUAUUAUUUUCAAUUAAUUUUUAUUAAAAUGAAAUAUUUUUUUUGAGCUAUAAUUAUUAGUAGCUUUUUUUUUUUUUUUAUCUUCAUUGGUUGUAUAUCAAAUACUUGAAAAGAUUAUAGUUUGUAAUAUGAACCCACAUCUGAGGAAGAGAAAAGAGAAGGUAUUAUGGCCUGUGUUGGCUAAAAAAUAGGGAGAAAAAUAAUAAUAUUAUGGGUGGUAGCAAAACAUAGGAGAAAAGGAAAAAAAAACAAUGGCAUGGAGUGCGGUCAAACUCAUCUCACUGCACUAGGUGGCGUGCUCACAUACUAUCCGGACCACUGACCUCAUCCAAUUAUAUUAUAUCUUGAAAUAAUAAUAUCUAAUAUGCUAUCUUUUAUGGAAGAGAAGUGAGAUGAAUUUGAUUUUGAAAAAAAAUUAAUAUAAAUGUGUUGUCAUAGUCAAGGAUGAAGAUAUAAUCUAUAUAAUAGUGAGAAUGAGAAAAAAAAACAUUGGGUUUGAUAAAAAUAUAUAUAUAUAGUUAGUUUUAGUAAUGACAAAAUGUUGGCUAAUGAAUAAAUUAAAAAUGUAGUAAAAUAUUGUAAUGACAAUUGGAAUACAAAUAAAGUCAUUGUUACCAUGUAGAAUAUUGUAUUAAUUAUCGAUUAGAAGGUAAAAUGUAGACAAUAUUCCUUUUCAUUGAGUUGAUUAAUUCAAGCAACAAUAACUUCUUAAAAAAUAAGAUAGCUUUACUAAUUAAUAUUAGAAAGCUAAAAAUAUUAGUUCGGUAUUAUAAAAUAUUAAAAUUCUUAAUUUACUAGAAAUAUUAAUUUUAAUUUAUAAAAUCAAUAUAAGUCAUCUUACUUUAUAGCGAUUUUUAAUUUAUUUAUUAGCUAAUAUUUUGUCAUUACUAAAAUUAGUAUGUUUUUUUGCCAAUUCAAAUAUUUUUCUUCUCAUAUUAUAUAGAUCAUACAUGCAUCUCUGGUCAUGACAUCGCAAUUAUAUUAAUUUUAUUUUAAAAAAAAUCUAAAUCUCUAUCUCAUCUCUCUUCUAUGAAAGACAAUUUAUUAGAUAUUAUUAUUUCGAGACAAAAUAUGAUUAAAUAAGUAUUAAUGGUUUGAAUAGUAUGUGAGCAUGCUAGCCAAUGUGGAGACACGAGUUUCAUCACUAUCUAUGUCAUUUUUUAUUUUUUCCUUUUUCUCCUAUAUUUUUGUCAACACAGCCCACAAUAUCAUUUUUUUUCUAUUUUCUGGAUAUGUCAACUCAAAGUCCUUUUGAGAGUGCAUAUCCACUUAAAGCACUUAGGGGUGGACAUUUGGUUGGUUUGAUUAAACGUUUACUAAUUGAGUAUUUAUUGUUUACUGAUCGAUUUAAAUAUUCACCAAAUUUAGUGUUUAUCAAUUUAUCGAUGGAGCUUUACUGUUACCGAAUUAAUCAAUUUACCAUAUAAGAAUUGAUUUAUUUAAAAAAAUAAACCAAAAUGACUUUGUUUUAAGUAAAUGGUAAAUCAGGAAUUUCGAAUUGUUUGAAUACUUUAUCGAACCAUUUAUCAUUUACUGAAUUUUCUCUGAAAAAUUUACUGAACAUUUAUCAUUUACUGAUUUAUCGAAUCAUUUCUACCGAAUAACCUCAAUUCGAUUCGAUAUAUUGAUAAUUAGUGAAAUUUGUCCACCAAAAUCCACUUCACUCUUUUAGGGCCCUCCAUCUCCAUUUAUCCUCUUUUUGCAUUUUACACUAAAUGUAUAACAUGCAAGACUUUAAUCAUUGUAGUUACAAAGGGAAUCACUUUUUUAUUUUCUUUUUAUAUUCUACACUUGUCAAGCGUAUAACAUGCAAAAUUUCAAUUAUUGUAGCCGUGAAAGGAAUUACCUUUUUCAAUAGAAACAAUGAUUGUAAAUAAAGAAAUUACCUUUUUCAAUAGAAACAAUGAUUGUAAAUAAAAUUAUAUCCAUUGUUAUUGUAAAUGGCAACUACGUAAAUACAUAGCUAAAGAUUCAUGUCGAGUCUUGUACAUGUUAUGUCAUUUAGCAAUGCUCUUUUUAACUAUGGGUGAAAAUGAAAUCAAUUACAAGCCAAUAGCCUUUGUUAUUAAUUCGCUACUAACGAAAUUGAACUAAUUAAUCCCUAAGAUUCUUAAAAAUAAAUAAAUAAAAGACAUGGGAUUUGCAUAUCUAAGAAGAAAUUAAGCCAAGGCUUCAUGACGGUUUCUCCACGCUAUUAGAAUUAGAGAAACAAAGGAUCAGCAUGCGCACUCAAAUUAGCUCCACAAAUGAUUAAUUAUUGUAAUUGUAUGGAAUUUUCGAAAGCAAGCAUUAAUUAGGGUAUUAAUUGGCUAUUAGGCAUUGUGAUUUUGGAUUAUAAAGUUAUCUUUGAAAAAAAAAAUCAAAAAUAUUAAUUAUUUCGAAAGAGAAAAAUCAUAACGUUGAAAAUUCAAACGAUAAUUAAUGUUGCCAACAAUAACACCUCGAAAAUUCAUUACAACCUACAAAUGAGCUCUACGAGUCAGUGGACAACUUAAAUCGUACAGUUGCAGUAGCCGUUGUGUCUAGUUAAUUAUUGACAACAACAAUACAUGAAUAUAUAUAUGUAGAUAUAUAUAAUGGACCACAAUAGACAAUUAAUAUUUUCAAAACUAUCCAUUUUAGAAUAAAUUUUUAUUUGCUAAAAUAUUUUUUUAGAGAGAAACUCGUGGCAUUCCAAAUUUUAUGGAUGAUUUAUCACAUGUUUCUAAAGUUAUAAAUUUUGAUAAUAUUAUACAUUUUGUCCAUAUGUACUAGCAAUAAUAAUUUUUAGAAUUUUUUAUUUUUAUAUAUAAAAUAUUGAUUUAAUAGUAUAAUUUUUUUAAUAAUAAUUUUUAUAUUUUUCAGCUGUUUAAUAAGUAUUUCAUUCAUUUUAUAAGUUAGGUGUUUAAUGAGUCAAGUUAAAAAUAUUUAACAAGUGCAAUUCUAUAAAUUGAAAUUUUUAAUAAAUCAAAGUAAAAGUAAAGGGUACCACAAGAAUUUUCACGAAGAGUACAUAAAUAAAUUUAUAUAUUGGGCCGUUUAAAAUUUAUUUAUAUUAUUGUAAUAAAUAAGAAAGAUUUAUCAUUAUUGGUUCUCAAUAUAUUUUUAAGAAAAAAAAAAACAUUUUUAAGCACCUGAAAUUGGCUUCUAUAGUUUCAAUUGCAAACUACAUUAAAUUUUUAAUAUUAAAAACACUGAAAUCUUAUAUAUUACAGAAUUAAAUACUCAACAAGAAAUCAAUGGAAAAUAUAUUAGAAAAUAUAAAAAAUUACAUUACUUUCCAAAACUUACAUAUUUUUCAAUUUCAUCAUUACGUAUAUUUUCUUUCACCAGUUAUAAAAAAUUUUGUCUCUCAGUGUGCUGAAAACAGUAAAAAUUUUAUGAUAUUUUAAGUAAUUGAACCUCCAAUUCAAACCAUGAAAGGAAAAUUUCAUUUAAAGUUAGAAAUUACACAUUAAGAAAAAUUGACAAGAACGACAUUCAAACUGGGCAUCAGUUUGGGCCACUAAGCAAAGUAUCAUUUGCAUCUAAAAUUUAUUUUUUCAAUUUGGUGAAAAGUAGAUUAUUGAUAGUUAAAAUUCAAAUUAUUAAUUAGAUUGACUUUAAAUAGUACAACAAGGGCUAAAUGCAUAAAUUUAAUCUUGUAUCUUUUAUAUAAAUUUUUAUGGAAUUUUCAAUUUUUAUUUUAAUCUAUUGAAUAUUACAAUUUUAAAAAUUGCAACUAUUAUGUAUUUCAAUUUGUAAAAUUCAAUCGGUGGAACACUUAUUGAAUAAUUGAAAAAUAUAAAAAUCAUUAUUUUAAAAGUUAUAUUAAUCAUAUAUCCAAUUAAUAUUUUAUAUCUAAAAGUUAAAAAUCUUAAAAAUAAUUAUUAAUGUGGAGAGAUAUACAAUGAUAUCAAAAUUUAUAACUUUAAAACUAUAAUACCAAAUUUUUUUUUUAAAAAAAAAUACAAAGACUAAAUUAUGCAUUUUGGCUGUGUACAAUAAGUGUGGCUAACAGAAGUAAAAAAAAAGAAGGGAAGGCAGAAAAACAGUAGCUUGUGUAGCUAUUUCAUUAUUAAGGCAGACAAUAUGCCAAAUAUAUAGGGAAUAAUAUGUACCACCAACCAACCAACCAAACCAACCCUAUAGCCUAAAUUAUUUUGUUUGCUUAGAAACCUUUAUUUCAGUGUAAUUUCUUUUUUUUUUUUUUUAAAAAAAAAGUUAAAAAACAUUAUAACAACCGCAUGAUUGCUGUCUCCAAUCCCUACACUAAAGUUGAUUAAAGCUCAUUGAUUGUUGUAUUGCAUAAAAAUAAUGGAGGAGGAUGAUGUCUCUCUUCCUCCUGUAGUUGCUUUCUACUUCUGCUUCUUCUUCUUGAAAAUGCCUUUUCUUUUGGAAUCCAAAGGUUUUACUCAUAAAUGCAUGUGAAAGAAGAAGGUCACUCCUAAAAGUUAUUGAGUACUCGUGUUUGACCAUCCAUUUUUAUUAUUAUGAGUGGAAAUUUAUCUUCUUUAAGACCUACCAUGCAAGAUAUAAGGUCAUCAUUUCUUUGCUCCACCAAAUUAAGGAAAAGGGAAAACUGAGGGAGGAAGGGAGUAAAGAAGUCCAAGCUAUUGCUGAGUUAGUUGGAUUUGAUUAUUAAAAUAUUUAAGAUUAAGAAACUCUAAUAAUUCAUAAAACCAAAAAUUGAGUUGGAGUAUAUAACAUAAUAUCUUAUUCAUGAGCUUUAAUUAAAUAUUUCUCUAAAUUAAAAAUAUGGAUUCCCUUUCUAAAAAAUAAUAAAAAAAGAAAGGAUUCCCUGGCUUGGCGCCUUACCUUUAGGGACUUGAAGGAUAAGGUGGGCAACAAGAAUUCCCAGCUGUUAAGGGUACUCGAUGUGUAUAAUGAAUCAAUAUAAUAAAAACAGUUUAUAGAGGAAAAAAAUAAUAAAAGAAUCGUUCUUAUAAAAACACUCUUCAUCCAUUAGUUAGAUUAGAUAUACAAAACGUGUCCCUUCACUCAAAGUGUAAGUAAAGUUUUGCUCAAAUCAAUUCAAUCCAUUUAGUAAAAUUAAAGUUUUAGGGAAUAAUCAAAUGUUAUUAAAAAUAUAAAUAAAAUUUAUCAUAAAAAGAAUAAGUAUUUAUGAGGAAAAUAAAAUAAAAUUUUCAAACUUUGGAGGCCAGUACCUCUACUCCUUAUUAAAUUAUUUUAGUUCGGUUCAAGCUGGCUUGUUUCAAUUUAAUUAGGUUAAGAAGAUUCUCAUUGUGCCCACAUUAUUUCGUAAAUUCCUUUCAUUUUUGUAGGGAUAAACUUCAAGAUUUAAAAAAUCCAAUUUGAUUAGAAAAACUUCAAAAAUAUUAAAAAUUACUUAAAAAGUUAUUGCGGAACACAAUGUUGGUAUAUUUAUCAGGAAGGUGGGAUGGAUCGAGCAGAUACCCACGAACAGUUUACUCCCCUAGUAGAUCCAUCCAGUGAAUUUAACACUUUUAUAGUUAAAUAAUAAAACUAUAAUGAAAUUUUGUUAUUUAGAUAAUUUUUUCAUAUAUUAUAAAAUAGAAUAAGUUUUUUUUUGUAUCACCUAAUAAAAAAUGUCGGUUGAAUUUUUUAUUUAUAUUUUACCCAUGCUAGUUAGCUCUUCCAAGUUGCAAUAUUUGAUACCAAAAUUUUCUUCUAAAAAAAAGUCAUGACAGUUUCAGAAAAACAGCAUUGGAAGAGGUAGAAAGAUGGCCAAAAGGAAAGGUCAAAAUUUUGGUUUGACUAAAGAAGGUCCAAUUUUAAGUUAAUCAUUGCUUUUGAACUGUGGGAGUUACUUACUAAAUAAUGUUAUUAUUAUUAUUAGAUAAAUCUAACUAAUGCCAAUCAAAUAUUAUUUAAUUAUCGGAUUUCAUUCUUCUCUAUUACAUAAUUUUUCACUAAUAUUAAUAUUAAAUUAGAGUUAAUAUAAAUUUUAAUUCAUGAGCUCGAAUUCAAAAUAGUAACUCUAGCUCGAAUUCAAGAGCUAGAGUUAGCUUUCGUAUCUAGCCUUUGUUUUAUCAUUACUGAUUUUGUGCGUGGAAACUAACCUAACCCACAAAAGUAGAAUUCCCAAACUUGAAAAUUUUUGACUUUUGCAUCUUAUCAAAGAUUUGCGUGUGAAGAUUAUAUAAAAUAUCAUAUAUAGUCUUGAUCACAAAAUAAAAAAAGAAGCCAAAAAAAUUAUUUUCUUAUUUUUUAUUUAUGCCGUUAGAUAAAUUUCCAUUGUAUUUAAAAAUGAAAAAUUACCCAAAAAAAAAUUAAAAUAAAAAAAAAGUAAAACAGAAAUAUUACACAUUUACAACUUUUAUUUUUUUUACUUCAGUAUUAUAUAAAUAUAUUGAUAUGUAAUAUAGAUAAGAAUAUAGAUUUUCUUAGUAUCACUAUUAUAAGUUUAUUUAACAUCAUAUAAGGCCCACUAUAUUGAAUGUCUGAGUCUAAGAUAAUGAAUGUUCUGAAACAGACGUAGUGUAGUAGAAGCUGACACAUAGAAAGUUCAAGUGAAUCCAUUUUUAGAUUUAUGCCUUUGCUAAUCUACAACAUUUAUCAUAUUCUUGAGUGAAAGUGACGUUGAAACAUCAAAUUAAUUGAACCUCGAAUCUUUCAUUCCCUCCUUUUUGAAUUGUGCAUUGCAUCACUUCAAUAAUAAUUCAAAAUGAAAGAAAUUAAGGAAAGCUUUUAGGCUCUGUUUAAUAAACUAUACGGCUUAUUUCAUCUCGAAUUUUACUGGUAGUUGUAAUUUCACUUUAAAUCGAUAUUUAUAUUUUGGAGCCUUUCUAAACUUAUCAACCUAGUUAUAAUUACACCCUAAUUUGCGUUUAAGGUGAAAAUAAAUUAAACUUAUUGAUUUGUUGCAAUCAUACACUCUAAAAGUAAGCUGAGGUUGGAAUUUGAUUAAAAUAAUGUAAAAAAAUAGACUCCAUUACCCAAGUAUUUAAACAAUAAAUAAUAAAAUCAAACUCAAAUAUUCAUUAGUAAAUAAAAAAAUCAAGAUUGAAUAUUUGAUUUUAAAAUUGAAUCAAGUUCAAGAUGCAAAAAUAAUGAGUUGUAUAUUAAUUCAAUUUAGGGUGUAAUUGUGAUUAGGUUGAUAAAUUUAGGAUAUAAAAGUUUAAAGUAAAGUUGCAACUAUUCAAAAAGUUUGACGUGAAAUUGAAGGUUGGGCCAAUAAAACAAUAAAAUAUAUAUCAGUUGAUCAUCGGUAAAUUUUAUUUAUAGUUUUAUAAUUAAAAAGAUCAUUUUUUAUUUAAAUUAAAUAUUCAGAGCCUGGCUAGAGUUUUAUCUAUUGAAAAGAACUGAGUUAAUGUUUUUUUUAUUUAAAAAAAAAAAAUGCUAGUGAAAACUGAAAAACAAAAUAGGAAUAGAUGGGCUAGCUAGGUUUCGUCUCUGUCUUAUGCAGUGUUCCUGAAGCUUAGCUACUAUUUUAAUAUUUUAAUUUUUAAACUAAAAAAAAAAAAUAUUAUUAAUCCGGUUUUCUCUCUUCCCCCCCCCCCGGCCGCUGUCCCCCCCCCCUCCGAUAUUGACGAAAUCGAAAAACAUAAACUAAACCGACCAAUUCCGCUCGGUUUAGUUAAAUUUUUAAGAUUGACGGUUUAGUUUUGGUUUUAAUGGAGUUUGGAUUGAAAUUUUUUACUAUUUGAUUUGAUGUGAUUUUAUUUUUAUUAUUACUAUAUAAAACUAAAAAAAUUAAAAAUUAAACUGAAUUAAAAUCCAAAAUAAUACUCAAAUAAAAAAAAUUAAUUCAAUUUGAUUAUAUAAACUAAUCGGUUCAAUUUCAAUUUAAAAUUUUCAAAAUCUAAACAUUUUUUAUUUUGAUUUCGAUUUUGAACAAAACCAACACCCCUAAUCACCAGCAUAUCCCUUCUCCCCUUUUCAUCUCUCAGAAAAGAAAGAAAGAGUCGAUCAUUUUAUCAUAUUUACCCAAAAAUUUCUCUCUUUCUAAUCAACAAGAAAACAAGACAAAAAAAAAAUUCCAUCACUAAAUUUUGUCAGUGGGAGUUAAUUCAAGCUCAAGCAUGAAAAUAAUAACUGAAUUGAAAUUUUGGACACUGGCUCCAUUUACAACUUCAGUCUCACAGGAUGUGGGACCUAAACAGACAAAUCCAAUGGUAGGAGAAUCUGCGUUAGGAGCGGGAAAGAGUCAUAAAAAUAAAUUUUAGCAGCACAAGAAACCAAGAAAAAGAAUCUGCAGAUGAGAAAAAUCUGAAAGGGAGCAAGAAUUGCGGCCUAUGCCAUCUCAGCAGGGGACAUAAAACUAUACAUCAUACACUUGCUUAAUCAAUUUUAAUGUGUUUGUAAUAACAAGUUGUUAAAAGAUUAGAUUCCCAAUUUGAGACAUAAUAUCCAUUUUAAGAUAAUGCAUAACUUUGUUAAUGAAGUUGUUUUACACCACAUUUACAUUUUUGGUGCCUCUAAUUUAAUUAAUUUAUGUCAAUCCAUUAGUAUUUGCUUUUCAAAAUAUGGUUAAUCAUCACGUACAAACAUUAGAACCUAGCUUCUUAUCACUUAACCUCACUGUUUAGGCCCAUUUGGAUCAAUGAUUGGGCCUUAAUUGUUGAAUCACACUGGUCGUUGGUUAGCACUAAAGGAUCAAUAUUGAAGACAGAAUAAGAUUUUUAACUUCCAAAAUUUCAAUGACUUCCGUCCCUCGUCCCAAUGCAUGAAUUUCUAACAUUUCUUUUUUUUUUUUUCUUUCACCCGUCAAUAUUUCAACUUAUAAAAUUAUAUAUAUUAAACACUCUAAUUUAUAAAAUUAUUUCAUUCAGCAUUUAAUUUUACUUUUAUAAUUUUUAAAUUGAAUAUAUUAUUUUUUACUUUAAUGUGCUAUAUAUAUAAAAGGCGAACUAUCUUUUCAAGUGGAAGAAAAUACAAUUUUAAACCAAACAUUUUAAGUUGAUUGUUGGUUACCGAUGGAAGGAUCAACAUUUACAACUAUAAGUAUUAACUUCAAAACCCUCAAUGAAAAUCUUAAACAGUUGACAACUGAAACUUUAAAUUAAUUGUUGGUUAGCAAUCGAAAGAUCAAUAUCGACAACUAAAAAGAUCCUCAAUUAAAAUUUUGAACAGUUAACAAUAACACUAUUAUACAGUAGCUAUUGCAUAUUUUUAUUUCAAAAUAAAAAUGAAAUGUUCAUCAAGAAUUGAUUCGCUACAAAUAGAACAUACACAAAUUGCUAUGCUUCAGAAACCAUGAGUUGAAAUAUAAUCAUUUCCAACCAUUUCUGACCAUAAGGGUGAAAUUACCACCUGCUAGAAAUCCCAGCUUUCAAACUACAGGCGAAUUUGCUCUUAAGCCUGCAAAUUCGUCGUGCAUAGAUAGAUUCACCACCAUCUAAACUAAGCAAGCAGAGUACAUUCUCAAUAUGAAGGAUGCAGAUUCCUUACAAUGUGCCGCCUUUUACCAGACAACAAAAAUUGAAUCAAAAAUAACCUGACAAAGCAGUGCUAUAUAAUAAUAAUUUUACUUAUUUCAUCGUGUAACAUAGACUACUUCUUGAAUACAAGGACAUAGCCAAGUAAAAAUAAAUGGAUGGCAAAUUACAAAAACAAAACAAGCUAUAGUAAUUUGGAACCAUAUGCGAGCAACAAUCAACUCAACCCCAUGAAGGGUAGUGUCACAGCCAGUUGAAUCUAAUCAGAAGCUCCAAAUCAUCAAUUCUUUAAGCCUUUUAUGUUCUUAAUCAAAAAAAUCACAUUCAAGCUAAACAUUACAUAGUUACAAUAUUUCAUUUGCUAAGCUCUAUUUGGUUAACUUGCUAAAGGAAAAAGACUUUAGCAAGCUAAACAAACAUAAAGUCAAUAAAUCUGGAAAACCCUUGGGUUACAGUAAGAAGAUAUUGACCACCUAAGCCUUUAUUUGGAUGGAGAGAGGGAAGUUUUAUUAAAGUAAGGUGAGGUGAGAUAAGGUGCAACAAAAUAAUGUAACGGUCUUAUUUAUGUUUGAGACGAAGGUUUAUAUACGGCAUUAUUUGGUUUGCAUGAAUAUUACAAAAUAUCCUUCUCAUCAAAGUCGUUAUUUUCAGAAAUAUGAAUUGAUUGAAAUUAUUUUUUCUGAUAAAGUAUUGAUUUAUUGAUACUAAAUUAAUUCUUCCUAAAUUAAAUUUUUAAAGAUAUAUAAAUUAGUUAGAAAAAGGAAAAAAAAAUAAAAGAAAUAAUGAAGGGGGUAUUUUGGCUUCUAAAUUAUAAACAUGAAUAAUAUGGAAAAUUAAAAUGUUUAACCCUCCCCAAUUUUGGGUUGAAAAUGUGUUACCCCUCAAAUAACUACCAAAAAAUUUCCCUUCUAUUAGCCAAUCUAUAAAGGGCAUAUAAAGAUAGCAAACUAGUUAGCUAAUUGGGUAGUAGUAACUUUUUAACAUUGGUUGGCUCAAGUCCAAAUAAGCCCGCAUCACACAUUUUCACAUCAUGAGUUCUUACCUCUUAUCCAAUUCACCUCUACCCUUCUACUCUUUCAACAUUGUAAUACCCUCCAAAACCUCUUUUCGAACAACCCAAUAAUUUUGCCUUAGCUUAGCUUAGCUUAGCCCCAAAAAACCCCAAAAUAACCCCCAUCUAAACAAAACCUAAAGGCUAAUGAAACAUUUAAGAGAAUGUAUGAUACAAAAUUUACCUUAUCAAAGCAACAUGAUCAACAAACUUUUUUCAACAGGGCCGGCAGGACAUUAGAUUCCAAACUCCUGCAUUCAGCUUUUUCCCGUGUUUAAAGAUGGUUAAAGACCUCAAUUUCAAGACUAAUUGCUGGAAACAAAAGCAAGUAUAGUCAUAGACACAGACAAAACGUUGGUAUCACAGUACAGAGAUUCCCUAGACCUCAUUAUCCUCUUUAAGCAUUUGCAGAGGUUCCUUUUUUAUUCCUAAGCAACCAUAUAAAUUCUUCAAUAAAUCAUAGAAGAUAAAGUUCAUGUGAAAGUAUCUCUUCCAGAAAAAAUUUCACUCCAAAAUUCUGUUUAGAUCUAUUCAACAAAUUGAUAUACUUCUACGGUCCUCCAUAUUAUAAAUUAAAAUACAAAUGCUCCCACAUAAAGACUCAUAUAAUAACAAUAAUUUCAUUCCAAUAAAAAUGUUAUUGACACUACAUUGUUGGGUGGGGAUGGGGUUUGAUUGAAGCUAAAUAAAGCUAAGAAAGGAUUUCCAACAAUUCCUGUAGGAAGAAAAUAAAAAGUGGUGUAAUAUUCUCUCUGCCGUCAUACAUCUUUAAUUGAGAAAAGGAAGUAAUCAGGACAACAAGGUUACAUUCUUCACUAACUUUUGUGAGAGGCAGGGAGUGCUAUCACUUCCUCCUACAAUGGCAAAGCAGAAAGAGACCGCCGAAGGCGAAUUAUAAAUUAUAGGUGAUAUCUUGCAGUUCAUGAACUUGGAUUAAAGCAGGUGAGCUCUCAGUUAAUAAAAUGGCUAGUGGGCUAAAUGAAAACAAAACUCAGGUUCAAAAGAUGAUGCCAAUAUCCCCCAACAUGACUGAAGGAUCAGACCAAUAAUACAACUGAAGGCAUAGGUGCUUCCUCCAAUUAUUUCAGCUUAUUUGCACUCAUGGUGAACCCAACGGGAGGUUUCUAAAAUAUCUCAAUCAAGUAUCAAAGAAGAAAAUGUGUUUAGAGCCUAUUAUUUGGGGUAGAACUUAGAACAUGUAAGAAAUGAACCAACAGAAACUUCUAAACUGUGCAAUCAAUUCAAAAUAUGUAGGUUAACAAGCUUUUUCUAAAAUGAUACAUUUCCACAUACAUUUAGAUAUAGAAUAAAGAUAAGCGUAUUGUAUUUCCAAGUCACAACCAAUCAAUCACAAAUUUAUAAUUAUUCAAUGCAUAAAUGUAUGCUCCACCUUAAAUGAAAAUCAAAUCUAAACAAAAUAUUACCAUUUCAAAGUCUAUAUGACAAUCAUAUCCAAUUCUCUACUAAACAAAGGAUCAGAAUUAUCCAUCCAAACAAACACUAGGUAUUCACUGAGACUACUUGUAACUAGCAUGCAAAAUGAAAUCUUUAUAGAACUAAUAUCCGAGGAAUUUAACAAAACAAAGACAAAAAUAAAGGGGGAAAAAAAAAAAAAGAAAACUUGCUCUUACCCUCUCACCUAAAUUCAUUUUCCAUUCGUUUUACCUACUCGAACCAGCUCCUUCCCUUUGGACUUUCUCCGAGAAGAACUUUGUUGCAAACAUGUUAUCAAGGAAAAACUCCCUGUACGGAUGAUUCUUAGGCACAAGCUUCCUAAACUGCUCAAAUUUUUUCUCUGCCUCGUCUUUCUUCCUCAUCAAAGUAUAUAUAAUUCCUUGACACAAAUAAGGCCUAAAAUCCCUUGGCUCUUCCUUCACCAAUUCCUCAUAAACUUUAAGAGCAUCAAUAUAUUUCUCCUCCAUAACUCUAAUUUGCGCAAUUAAUAACUUAAAGUCCCUCAAAUCAGACUUCUUCUUCUCCUUCUUACAUUUAUCCAUAGCUCCUUCAAUUCUUUUUAACACCUCAUCUAAUGAAUCACCAGAUUCAGAAUUUGCCAUUACUAACCCAUGAUAAGCCUCAACACGAAGAGGAUCUUUCUCCAAUAUUUCCUCAAACCCUUUCCUCGCCGAUUCAAAUUCUCCACUGUAACUAUAAAUUUGAGCUUUCAGCAAUGGCCAUUCAUCCUCAUUGGGCUCAAGCUCAAUCAAACGGUCAACAACUUCAAUUGCUCCUAGAAGCUUCCUCGACUUGAUCCUAACCUCCAUAAGAGAUCGUAAAGCUUCAGUAUCCUCUGGAUUUCGACUCAAGUGCUCCUCAAGAGCUCUUUCUUGUUCUUCAAACGAUAAAUUCUCAUUCGACGAUUGCUUGGCGGGCUCUACGGUAGCAGGGGCGGUGGCAGGUGCAGCAAUGGCGGGUUUAUUACAGAGCCGCGAGAAGAAUAAUGCAGCAGCCGCGGUGAGAGUGAUGCAGGUGGUUUUGAGGAGAGGGUUUAGGGUUUGAAGAAGAGAAGGUUGAUGGGUUUGCGAUAUUUUAUAGAGUGGAGCACGAGACGAUGAAGCUCUAACAGAGGAGAAUUUGAAAGGAGACGACUGGGUUUUGAAGGACAGGGAGAAUAAGGGCUUAGAGAAGGAUGGACGGUUGCAAUUGAGAGACAGGUUAAAGGAUUGGUUAGGGCAGUGAAGCUUAGCAAUCGAAGAAUCCAUGUUUCAGUGAGAGGGAGAGAGAAAAAUAGAGGCUAAAACCCUGUUUAUGAUGAUGGGAAGACGAGAGUGUUCAAAACCCUUGUUAACAAGGAGAAUAUGCUGUUUGGCUGGCGUCAGAGAGAAAUACUGAACGGUGUCGUUUUAACUAAUUUGCGUUGUUGAUGUGGGUAGUUCUUAUGGGCCUGGGCCGAAGUAUAAACUGCCCGUUGUUGACGUGGGUAGUUCUUAGCAUUUUAAUAAGGCCGGACCAGAAUUUGUAUUGUAGGUAUUGGGUUUGAGAAACACACAAAUAGGUAUCCAUAUUUUAAAUUUAUUGACACCAGACCUUAGCUCCCUAUUGACAUAAAUGAAUGUAAAUUAUAAAAAAAUUUCAUUUGAAAAUAAAUUAUCAUAUUUGAUAUAGUAAAAUGAAGAAUAUAAUUCAAUUGAUUUUCAUAAAAUUUAAAGAGAGGAUGUGAGUGGAGAAUAGAUAUUUUAAUUGUAUAAAUUUUAUGGAAUUUGUUUGAAAUUUUAUUAAUUUUGAUGAGACUUAGUUUAGAUAUACUCAAUUUUACUAAAUUGAAUUCACAAAAUAUUUAAGAGAAAAAAAAAUGAAUACAUACCUGAAAGUUUAUCGUUUGAAAAAUCAUAUUUGACUCCCUAAAUAAUUAAAAAAAAAUUCAUUUGCUGCCCCCAAAAUAAUUGUCAUAGCUCCAUCCCAGUAUAUAUAUAUUUUUACAUAAUUUAGGAUUUAACUCAAAAUCAUUAUGGGAUUUGGAAAGAAUAUUUUAUAUUUACGUUAGAGAAAUAAUUUUUUUAAGUUAUUAUCUUAUUUGUUGUAGAAUUAUUUCUUAUCUAAUAUAAGAUUUGUAUUUGAGAGUUAUUCUUAAUUGAAUAUAAAUUUAUAUAUAAAUUAGCCAAAAAAUCAUGCUUCGCAUGCAGAUAUUUAAAAUAUCAUGAAUUAUCAAUUGUUUAGAAAGAACAAUAAAAAAAACUCUACUUGAAAUAAAUCAGUAAUAGUAAAUAUCAAAAUAAUUUGUUAUAAAGAAAAUUAUGAUAUUAUUUGCAAUAGCAUAUAAAUUUUAAAGAUAUACUUCUAGUUAAAUGUAAAUUCAAUUAUACAAAGGUAAAGAAUAUUACUAUUGAGUUGAUAACGUAAACGAAUAAACUUGAUAUAUAUAUCAAAUCAAUAUACAUAUGCAUAACUUACAAAUGCCAAAUUAAAUAGGGAUGGAGUUUGCAAGCUAACAUAUAACAUUUCAAAGUUAACGUAUGACAUCUAGUUAUAUAUAUAUAUAUAUAUAUAUAUAUAUAUAUAUAUAUUCGAUAAUAAUAAUUACUAAAUUUCAUUUUGAGAAGCUUUUGUUGUUAGAUUGAAAUUAAAAGUAAAAGUCUUUACCUAGAAGUUGUGACUCGGUUGGAAAUGCAGGCUAAACAUAUGGAAAGAAUUUUCGAAUUUGAUCACCACUAAAUACAUCUGCAGGGGAGGACGAAAAGUGUUAACUGUGAUUAAGUCCCGAACUGUAUUGUUUAAUUGAUCCCUGGUAAUAUGGUGUGAAUACUAGUGGUUUACAAAAAAAAAAAGAAGUAAAAUCUUUGAUUAAAUAAUGGUCUUUGUACAUAAAAGAAUUGAUAUAUAUAUAUAUAUAUAUAUUUUACUUAUUUUUCUAAUUUUAUAUUUUCAGAGAUUAUUCUAGUUGUAAAAUUUUUUUAAUUAUGAUAUGAGUAAUUUUAAUAAACCUAAUUUAUAUAAUUAAAAUUUUUAUUUGUAAAUCAAUUCAAAAACCUCAAACGUUAGAAUUUGAAAUUCAACAAAUUUCAUUCAAUUUAAAUAUAUCACAGAUUUAAAAUAUACAUGCAUAUAAAUAUAGCAAUUUAAAUAUAUCAUUGAUUAUACCAAACAUCAGCAAUUACUACAGAAAUUCAUCCUUUUUUUUUUUUUUUCUUAGUACAAACCCGAGCUAAUAGAGUUGGACCAUAAACUUUAAUUGUGACCUAGAUCAAGUUCCAUCAUUUUUGGGAAAAUUUAAACAAAUGCAAUGAAAGGGAAAAAAAAAGUUUAAAAAAAAAUUACAACUUCAAUAAGGGAAAUAAAUAGCUUAUCAUAUUUACAUUUAUAGAAAUUGACAAUAAGUACGUAAGGAUACAAUGGCUUUGAUUUGCACAUCAUCACAUAUUUUACAGAGUGAAAUUACAAAUUUAUAAUUCUUCAAAGUUCCUUUAAAACGCCUUUGCUAGUUUUGUGAACACCCUUUGCAGCAAGUUUUAGAGUCUGAUACAAUUUCUAACCUGUGCGAAAAUGCUUUCAACAUUAACUUGGUACUACCAAUUAGCUAUGUGUCAAAAAAUGGCGAAGCUACAAUCUGCAUGCGCAUAUAGGGAAAGAGAUGAUGGAAAAUGUAAUCAUCAAUUAAACCAUUUGUUUCCUUUGUCCUUUUUGUUAUCUCCAGGUAAAAGAGACUUCUGUGACCAAUAUUUUACUGCAGUAUAUGAAAUUUAGAAAUUAUAUCAAAACUGCAGUAUAAUCACACCAAUAUAAUAAGAAGCAUCCAAAUAAAAUUCGUGUCAAACAAUAUUCAAAAUUAUACAAAACACAGAAAAGGUGAUAAUCAAGAAUCAAGAAACAAAAAACGCCAAACAAUACAUACUGAUAAGUGCAUUAUCAAGUGCUUUUAUUGUCUAUAUUCGUAUGCAUUUUUGGGUUAUUUAUGUGCUUAAUUCACUUUGUUAGACAAUUUUUACCAAUUAGACAUUAUUUUAGUUGCAUUUGGAGUAAUAUGAUUAAAUUGGUAAAAUUCCAGCAUUUUUUUNNNNNNNNNNNNNNNNNNNNNNNNNNNNNNNNNNNNNNNNNNNNNNNNNNNNNNNNNNNNNNNNNNNNNNNNNNNNNNNNNNNNNNNNNNNNNNNNNNNNNNNNNNNNNNNNNNNNNNNNNNNNNNNNNNNNNNNNNNNNNNNNNNNNNNNNNNNNNNNNNNNNNNNNNNNNNNNNNNNNNNNNNNNNNNNNNNNNNNNNNNNNNNNNNNNNNNNNNNNNNNNNNNNNNNNNNNNNNNNNNNNNNNNNNNNNNNNNNNNNNNNNNNNNNNNNNNNNNNNNNNNNNNNNNNNNNNNNNNNNNNNNNNNNNNNNNNNNNNNNNNNNNNNNNNNNNNNNNNNNNNNNNNNNNNNNNNNNNNNNNNNNNNNNNNNNNNNNNNNNNNNNNNNNNNNNNNNNNNNNNNNNNNNNNNNNNNNNNNNNNNNNNNNNNNNNNNNNNNNNNNNNNNNNNNNNNNNNNNNNNNNNNNNNNNNNNNNNNNNNNNNNNNNNNNNNNNNNNNNNNNNNNNNNNNNNNNNNNNNNNNNNNNNNNNNNNNNNNNNNNNNNNNNNNNNNNNNNNNNNNNNNNNNNNNNNNNNNNNNNNNNNNNNNNNNNNNNNNNNNNNNNNNNNNNNNNNNNNNNNNNNNNNNNNNNNNNNNNNNNNNNNNNNNNNNNNNNNNNNNNNNNNNNNNNNNNNNNNNNNNNNNNNNNNNNNNNNNNNNNNNNNNNNNNNNNNNNNNNNNNNNNNNNNNNNNNNNNNNNNNNNNNNNNNNNNNNNNNNNNNNNNNNNNNNNNNNNNNNNNNNNNNNNNNNNNNNNNNNNNNNUUGUUUCUUGUUCUUAUUGAGUUGAUUCUAUUGAAUUCUUUGCUAAAAAGGCCUAUUAGUGAAUUGUUUGGUAGGAUUAAGUGCUAUUUCAGAUUUCAUAAUCCGUAAUUAUUAUGAAAGUUUGAAUGUUAGUAGCAAUUAGGUAUUACUGAUUAUAUUUCAGGUUUUCAGUAAUAAUCUAUAGAGACAAUAGAGUUGAAUUAAAUGAUUUAUGCUUUAUAAAUUGUUGUUCAAGUUUAACUACUUCCUGAUUCUUAAUGCUUUUAUUAAAUAGAAAUGGAUUGCUUAAUACCCGAUCGUUUAAUAAUUAGAGUUAAUGAGGGUGCUGGGUUCAAGUUAACGAAAUAGGAGAGUUUUGGGAAUUUAUCAUGUUUUUUUGGUAAAUUUCAGUUAAGUAUUCAAAGAGUAAUUAAAUCAUAAGUUGUCUGUGAUCAAUUGUGCAUUAGAUUAGAAAUCACUUUUUUCAUCAAUUUGCAUUACUACUUUAGUUUAAUUAAUUAAUUUUCUUUUUGAACUGUUAAGUUGAAUUUUUCACAAACAAACCCCCCUUCUUUUUAAACACAAAAAUUAAGAUUUCAGUCUCUAAGGUUCGAUCUGAAUUCACCACUUCUACAGUUAAAUUCAGAAAUUUAAAUUUGGUGGAACCGACAAACAUCACGUACCAACAGUAGAAAAGCAGAAGAACACACACCCAAAAAAGUCCAAGAAAGUUGAAGAACUGAACCAAGAAAGUAGAAACUCAAGAUCAGCUAGGAAAGACACAAAAGAAUUCAAAGAAAGUUCCAGAAAUGAAAUCCAAAUAUCUAUGAACCAAGGAGCCUAUUUAUAGGGUAAAUAAAACAAAACUCGAUUUACAAUAAUAUAUAUGUAAUUAUUAUGUAACAAAAUAUAUAUUCUCACGCCUUAAUCGCACAAUUAGUGAAUUACCUUUGCUAGUGAUCGGAAUGUUCAUCAACAUCAAUCAAUUCCAAUUUUUACAUUCCCUCUGUAACGCUAAUGUGAAAAGCUGCAAAAAGAAAUUUCAUUGUUUCCUUGUUUAAUAGCAAAAUCCACUUGAACAUAUAGUCAUAACAACAUUGGUAAAUAAAUACAUUCAACCAUGGUAACCUGCAACUAUUUUAUCAUAUAUCUUAGAUAAUUCCUACGCAACUCAGCAAGUCAUAGUGACCCCACCCAUUACUUCACGGUGUCGAAAUUAAAAAUAGAAUAAAAGCAAAUAAAAGAAAAAUUACCUGAACAGUGAUUCUGAUUUUUAUUUUAAUAUCUAUAUAAUAUUAUUGGAUUUGGAUCAAAAGUUUUCGGUGCAUAUAUAAAGAGAGAGUCGAGAGACUUUAGGCAGAGUGUACAUAUAAUUUACGAUGUUUUAGAGUGAUAAGUACAUAGAUAAAACUCAACAAUUUAAAGAAUUCAAUAUCGAAUGCGUAGUAAAUAUUUAGAGUGAUAGUAAGUAGAUAAAAUUCAACAAUUUAAAUAAUUUCGUAUAAAUAAUGCGUAGUAAAUAUUAAUUAAAAAUAUUUAUAUUUUCGAAUCACAAUACACAAAAAUAAAGCAAAUCUUUAAAAAUUUCUAAACAAAGAAAAAUAAAAAGCUCAACAAAUAGAGAGUUUUGAAUUUUCUCUUUGAAUAUAGAUUCCUUUAAUCUUAGGAGCAUUAUAAAAGAGAUUAUUUGGUUUUCGUUUAUCAAUAUGUGAGAAGUCCAUGAGGAAAUACUUUCCUCCAAUAACUUUCAUGGCUUUGACCAGCUAUGCACGUCGUUACAUGGAGUAGUCGCGAGAGUCUUUUGCCCAAUAGUGUGGGUACCUUUUGUGAUGUAUAUAAUUUUUUUUGAAGGUUUGUGAUGUAUAUAUGAUGUUAACAUGCUAGUGUGAACAUGUAUUUUCUCCGCACUGUAUAUAGGGUUUCUUCAACAAAAUUAACUGUUUUGAUAGCUAUUAGUUAUUUUAGUAGCGUUUAGCUGUUAGCAAUUUGAGUAGUUUUUCAUAAAACGCUAAAAGUUCAAUGUUACAUGAACUAACUUUUUAUAAAACGUUCCCUAACCUCUAAAAGGUAAUUUGAAUGUUAUGUUACUGAACACUAUAAAAAAUAGUAUUGUCAAAAUAUUAAAAGCUACUUAAAAAACUGUUGCCGAAUACAACUAUAAUAUGAUAUGUAUAAAUUAAAAUGGAUUGAUUAUAUGUACAAAUUAAAACGGAUUGAUUAGGUCAAGAAUGAACCUCUUAGAUUAAAAACAAUUCGAAACAAUUUAAAAAAAGGUCGAUCAGAGUGACCUUUCUUCAUUCUUUUGAAUAUAAUAGAAAAUGAAAAUUUUUAAUAAAAUUAUUGACAUUGGAAACUAUACAUCCAAAGCUUUCCGAUGAUAUAUAGUAAGUCAAAAUCACACUUGGAAUGAAGGUUUCGAGUUUUAGUGUACGUUUUUCAUUAGAUAAUAAUUGGAGUCAAAAUAAGUUUUUCCAAAAUAAAAUAAAUUAAGGCGGCAACUCCUUUCAAAAAUUAUUUCUUUUUUACAAUAAAAGCGGUAAUUGUUGCUUCUGUAAGUUCAAGUCUUUCAUUUAAUUUACCAGUGAUAUUAGUUGCUUCUGUGAGAGCUCCUCCCAUUAGUUGGGAGCUUAUAAUUUCAUAUUUCAUUUCACUUUUUAAUAGGUACUUGUCACACUCUGCUCAUGGUACCACUUCAAUCUUAAUCAUAGUACUUAGCUUCACAAGGCGGUCCUUGCUGGUUCAUUUUAGAGUUUCUAGACAAUAUUCUUUCUUUGCAUUGCUAUUGUCAUGCCAACUCUUUUCCCAACAUAAGUAUUGAUGGCUCAAAGCUAGCCACUAUCUUGUAAAAAUAAAUACACUCUUGGAUUAAAAUUCUCUUUCUAGCUAGGUGAAUUCAACAAAGAAUUAUACUCCUCUUAUCCCGAAAUAUAAGUCAUUUAAAAUUUUUCACAAGAAUUAAAGAAGCAAUUAAUUCUCCUAGAUUAUAACAAAUUCAAGAUUAAUUUGAUCAAAUUAUUCUUUAUCUCAAAACCUAUAGUUACUUGUGAAGUAUUUAUUGUAUUUAGUAUAAACAAGGACAAUAUUGAAAACACAUCAUUUAUUACUUCUUGAAAUACACAAAAUGAAUUUUAUUUUGGGACAAAAUAACAAAUUAAAAACGACUUAUAUUUUAGGAUAGAAGGAGUUCUAAUUAAUUUAUGCUCUAAUUAAUACUACAUAGAAAAUUAAGAUUACCUACAAAAAUUUCUAUAGGCAACUUUAACAAUUCUAUUGUUAAUUACAAUUACUUAUAAAAAAUCAAUAAAAUCUUGUUGGCUAUAAAUUUCUUGUCGCUAAUUUUCUUCUAACCAAUAACAAUUUUGUUGGUAAUUUAACAAUAGAAAAAUUAUUGCUAAAUCAAUUAUUUAUGUCGAUAAAAUUGAAUUAAAAUUUUGUAAAAAGUUAUAAUUAAUUUUAUCAGUAAUCUGUCGAUAUUUUAUUGGUAUUUGUUGAUCAUUAUAUUUAAUUUUUACUUUUCAAAAUUAAAUUAUUUGGCUGGUACAUCAAAAAACAAUCAACAGGCAAAAUUGCAGUUUUUAAUUUUUAUAACAUACCAAUUGUAUUUUAAUAAUUAUAUUAAUUAAACUUUAAUAACUAAAUUAAAUAAAGAAAAUUAAUUAAAAAAGUACAAAUAAGAAAAUAAAAGAAAAAGAAAAAAGAUUAAGAAGAAUAAUAAGAAAAAAAAAAGGAGAAGGAGAAAAUUUUUUAGAAUAAGAAAGAGAAGAAUAAAAAAUAAGAAAGAGAUGAUAAAAGAACCAAAACAUUGAAGGAAUGGGAGGAGAAGAAAUGAUGAAGAAAAAAGAAGAAGAAAGAAAGAAAGAAAGAAAAAAGAACAAAAAGAAAGAUGAAAAAGGUAACUAAGAAAAGGAAAAAAAAAAAAAAAAGUAGAAGAAUAAAACAAAUGAAUGAGAGGUAAAGUGAGAUACAAAAUUUUGGUGCUUAAAAAUAAAAUUUUAAUAAUGAUAUGCUCUAUCUGUCCUGAAAAUAUAGUCCUUUUUUUUUUCACACAGAUUAUAAAAUGAAAGUUAUUAUGGUUAGUAAACAAUUUUGUUACUGUAACUUUCCUAUUAUACUUAUCUUAAAUAAUACAUUAGUAUUAUUAAUAUUGAAAUAAUAAAAAUUAUAUUGAUAAUAUAAAUAUGCAAUUAAUGAAAGUGACAAAUAUUGAUGAAUUUUUAAAAUUCAAGAGGAGAAAUAUGGAAGAAUAAAACUUUUUAUUAAAUAACAUAUGAAUUUAAAGUAAUAUUGACUUGGGAACGGACCAAAAAAGUAAGUAAUUAAUAAAAACUAUUGAAAAUAAAAUAAAAUUUAAUAAGGACAUAAUAGACAAUUUAAAAGUUAAUUAUAAUGUAAAAAAAGUAAGUGAAAUAUAUUUUGGGACAGAUCAAAAUGAAAAUAUGGACUACAGUCGAAGAGAAUAAGUUUAAUCAUUUUGUUUUCUCUCAGUACUUAGACAAUUAAUCAUUCUUCAACGAGCAUUUGGCGAGAGCCCCUCUAAGUGGUUGGGAGCUUGCAAUUUCACAUUUUGUUUCACUCUUUAAUAGGGUUCUUUUCACUCUUUGCUCAUAGUACCACUUCGCCAUCAGUCUUUCACGAGUUCUUUGCUUUAUAAAUUGGUCCUUACUAGUUCAGUUUUUCUACGCAUCAUUUCUUCCUAUGCAUUGUUAUUGUCAUUCCAACUCUUUUAGUUUUACAAGUUGGUCAGCUAGUGCCAGAUCUAUCUUAUAAAAACGGAAUCGAUUGACCUAUAUUUUUUUUCUUAAUUCUCUUUAGAUACACGUGUAUUUUUCUCGAUUGAUCCCUCUUAAAAUUUGAAAUAAAAGUAUCUUUUCUAAUUUAUCAUUUAUCUCACUAUUAAAUUCUUCCGUCUAAAAAGUGAGCUCUUAUUUAUUCAAAAAAUGAACAUAUUCUUUCUAAAAAGUAUAUCUAAUUAACGGUAAGUUUAUAUUUCUUGUUUCUCUAGAAUUAUGAUGUACUCAUAAUAUAUUAUAUUAUUUAGUAAGUUUCUUAAAAGAAUUUUUUUUUAACUAUUGUAGAGGAGAAUUUAAUUUAAUCUCAUUGUUGAGAAUUAGUGUUGUUACUAAGAAAAAGAAAAAUAGAAAGUUUUAGCAAGACAAUAAAAGCAUCUCUAAUGUUAAUAUAAAUCAUAACUGAUUUAUCGUAUAAAAUAAAAGGUGUAAAUGGUUGCUUAGUUAAAUAUCUAUUUAUGAACGUUGAUUUUUGAAAUCUCUAUACAAUUUACUAGUUUUAAAUUCUCUUUUUUUUCUUUUUUUUUUUCAUGUCCACAAUAUACGAUCAAAUCAUUAAAGAGUAAUGAAUCUCUACAGUCUCUGAUAAAACCUCUAUAAAUAAAAUAUGUGGCAGACAAUGUCUUUUUUUUAUUUUUUUUUACACUUUAACUUAGGAUAUCAAAUAAAUAUUAACAUUAAAAAAUAUUUUAUUUUUUUUAAUAUGACAAUUACAAAUCACAGUGUUUUCCGAUGUACUUGUGCACGCACAACGAUCGUCAGGUGAAAAAUAAUUUAGUGAGUGAUAAAGUGGUGUGAUGAGGUUCUGUUCCUCUGACUCUUGAGUAUGUUGUUCACCGUAGACUUGCCAAUCAGACGAUUGAAAUGGGCAUUGGACUGAAGACUUGUCAUUUUCUCCUUCAUAAUUUACAAAAUUAUUUUUUUUAGUACUCGUGAUUUAUUAAAUUAUAUAGAAACAUCUGUCAUUAUUAUUAUUUGUGAGGUCGAGACGAGAAAGAAAGAAGUGGAAUAUCAAUCUAGAAUGGGGAUGAGUAAGAUCAAUGUCAAAAGAGUGAGACAAAAAAUAAAAAAGAUGUACACAAAAAUAAAUUUAAAAAAUAUUAAAAAGAUUACUUAAAUAAAUAAAAAAUAUUAUUAAUUAAUUACAUUAUAAUUUUAACCCAAAAUUUUAAAUUAAACCUUAGUAAUAACAAAUCAUUUUUUUUCUUUAACUGAAAUAUUGAAAAUUAAUUGAAAAUAUAAUUUUUUGAUUUACAAAAAUUUAUGAUAAAUAUUAAAAAAAUAUAUGAUAAAUUAUAGUAGUGGCACGUGACACUGAUGGAGCCAGAUAUUUUCUUUAGAUAGCCAAAGUAAAAUGUUAAAUUAUUAUUUAUCAAGAUGCACAGUAGAUAAUUUGUCAUUUAAUGAACUUGUCAAAUAAUCCGGACAUAUGUCCUUUGGUCAAUUUCUUUUUACUCCUGAGUUCUGUAAACGAAAAAGCUAUGUAAUCUUUACAUCUAAUAAAUACAAAUCACUUUAUCUUUAUAAUUAGAAAUUGAGACAUAAAAUUAAAUUGAUACUGUUUUGUCUCAAAUUUCUAAAUUACUAAUUAACAAGGAAACAACAGUUCAUUUAUAAAUGCAGAUUCUUAAAACCCCCUAAAAAAAUUCAACCCAUCAUUCAAUCUUCAACCCCUGCAUUUAAUCUCAAAUCGAUAUAUAUAUACAAUUAUAAUGAGUAAUAAUAAUAAAUUAUUUUUUACUGCUAGCUAGAGGGAAGUAUUACUUUACCCAGUGCAUUAGAGAAAAGAAUAUAUGCACAUACACACAAACUCUUGAAACCUCAAAAAAUGACUCAAAACAGAAAUAUAUAGUUCUAUUUUUUUUCCAGUUUUCUAAAUACUAUUUUCUUUUAAGUCAAACAGAUUUAGGAUAUAAAAGAAAAAAAAUAUUAAUAUAAAAAAAUUAAAAAUGCCUAAUCAUCAAGAGGGCAUCUAUUUAUUGCAAGUGGAUAUAAAUCUCUUACUAAAUUAAAGUGAUAAUAGUUACCAAUUAAUUAAAAGAAAAUAAGAAAUUAUUAUUACUAUAAUUAUAAUAAUAAAACCAUAAUUUUAUAAUAUUACAAAAUUAUAAUCACUUACAGUUUUGCAACAAUAGAUGCAUCUAUCCACGAUGAGCUUCUAAUCGUAGUACCUUUCUUCAAACCAUUCCAAAGAACAAACAAAUAGUUAAGUAUCAAAUAUUCAAUAGAAGAAAAAUAUUGCCUAUUUUAAUUAGAUUAUUGAUUUACUUACUUUGAUUGUAUCUCCAAAACCUAUUGGAUAUAAAUAUAUUUAUCACCUUAUAUCUAUAAUAUUGUUGCAUGUAAUAAAAAAGACCAUAAAAUUUAAGGUUUAUAAAAUUUAAUAUCGUAAGAAUUAUUAUAACAAAAUAAAAUAAUUAUAUAAAAUAGAUAAUAAACCAUAAAAAGAAUUGAAUAUCAAAUAAAAAUUUGAUAUGGGAUGUGAGAUGAUAUAAAAAUUAGAUCAAGAAACAAAAGUCAUAUCACAUUAAUCAAAAACUGCAAAAUUAGAUGAAAUAAAACAAUAAAAAAUUUUAGAUCUUUCAAUCAAUAAAUAAGAAUGGGAGAACAUUUUCGAAAUGUCAAAUAUUAAACAAGAAGCUUAUAUAUUGCUUUCCAAUUACCCAUUGUCAAUCACAUAUCGAAAUCCAAUUUUUGAGUCAUCAUACCAUCCGAUUUUUAUAUUAUAUAAUUAUUAUAUUAUAAGCAAAUUAUUACUUAUUAAAUACAUGAAUAUAUAAAGAUAUUAUAAGUAAUAUCGAGUACAUAAAAACAUAAAGGUGUUGUGCGGUGCCCACUCAAAUGGGAUCCACAUGUGUGAAAGUAAGAACAAAAUAGGCGCAGUCAGUUCAAUAGUGAUGGCUUUGAAUUGCUGCACAUGGGCGGUGCAACUUGAAUGAGUUGUACACGGCUCAUUAAACACGUUCCUACGCGUUAACCUGCCUAUAAAUAGAGGCAGAUGCACCUCAGUUUAGACACACCAGAAACGAGAGAAACAAAAUGUAGAGAGAGAGGUUAUCUAGUUUCCUAAAACUAGGGGAGAGAAAAAUAGUGAGAAAAUUAUUAUGGAGUGUUUUUGGGAAACACUGUGAGUGCCACUAUUUUUGUAUUACUCUCUUUGUGUACCUACUAUUUUUAAUAGUGGAAGAAAAAUAUUCAGAGUUUGUCCCGUGGACGUAGCUCUAAACAGUUGAGGGUGAACCACGUAAAUUUCUGUGUGUCACAAGUUUAUUAUUCCACUGCGUUAAUUUUCUCUUACUCGGUUGAAAGGGCCCAACGAGUGGUAUCAGAGCUGAUGCCCAACAACUGGUAUCAGAGUCGAUAUCCUAACAAGUGGUAUCAGAGCCGAAGGUUUCGAGAUAGCGGUACCGGAUCCGUGGAUAUAUUUUGAAAAUAAAUAUACCACGAUGAAGAGAAAAUUACGACGAGUCUGUUGGUGCUGUCCGCUCGGAAAGACGUUGCAUAAUCGACUUAGUAAUGAAUAGUAAAAUAGUAACUCGGGGUUGAUGGUGAAUAGUUACUAUUGGCGUUACUUGAGCCGUCACUAUUAAGCCUAGCACUAUUUACGCAUAGUACUAUUCACGUGUACAGUUACUAUUCAUGCAUAUAGUUACUAUUCAAGUAUACUGUUACUAUUCAUGGUCACUAUUCACGUAUACUACUGUUCACGUAUACGGUUUAUAUUGGUGGUGAUAUUCUGCACAAGUCAAAAUGGACAAGCAAAAUGAUCAGUCUNNNNNNNNNNNNNNNNNNNNNNNNNNNNNNNNNNNNNNNNNNNNNNNNNNNNNNNNNNNNNNNNNNNNNNNNNNNNNNNNNNNNNNNNNNNNNNNNNNNNNNNNNNNNNNNNNNNNNNNNNNNNNNNNNNNNNNNNNNNNNNNNNNNNNNNNNNNNNNNNNNNNNNNNNNNNNNNNNNNNNNNNNNNNNNNNNNNNNNNNNNNNNNNNNNNNNNNNNNNNNNNNNNNNNNNNNNNNNNNNNNNNNNNNNNNNNNNNNNNNNNNNNNNNNNNNNNNNNNNNNNNNNNNNNNNNNNNNNNNNNNNNNNNNNNNNNNNNNNNNNNNNNNNNNNNNNNNNNNNNNNNNNNNNNNNNNNNNNNNNNNNNNNNNNNNNNNNNNNNNNNNNNNNNNNNNNNNNNNNNNNNNNNNNNNNNNNNNNNNNNNNUCAAGAUUUCUCAGCCUUCCAGAAUGAAGAAUGUAUUAGAUCUGGUACAUUCAGAUCUGUGUUGACCAUUGACGGUGUCAUAUGGUGGAAAUCGAUACUUCGUUACAUUUAUCGAUGACCAUUCUAGGAAGACCUGGGUAUACACUUUGAAGUCCAAAGAUUUUACUCUCACAUGCAAAGUUUUCUAAGAGAUUUUGGGGUGAAGCUUUACUCACAGCAAUUUAUCGUUCACCUUGUUUCCCUCUACAGUAUGAUACUCCAGAGAGAGUAUGGUUAGGAAAGGAUGUUUCCUAUGAUCAUUUGCNNNNNNNNNNNNNNNNNNNNNNNNNNNNNNNNNNNNNNNNNNNNNNNNNNNNNNNNNNNNNNNNNNNNNNNNNNNNNNNNNNNNNNNNNNNNNNNNNNNNNNNNNNNNNNNNNNNNNNNNNNNNNNNNNNNNNNNNNNNNNNNNNNNNNNNNNNNNNNNNNNNNNNNNNNNNNNNNNNNNNNNNNNNNNNNNNNNNNNNNNNNNNNNNNNNNNNNNNNNNNNNNNNNNNNNNNNNNNNNNNNNNNNNNNNNNNNNNNNNNNNNNNNNNNNNNNNNNNNNNNNNNNNNNNNNNNNNNNNNNNNNNNNNNNNNNNNNNNNNAACCAGAUGAAGAUUAUGGUGUUCAUGUUCAACCACCAGCACCGGAAGGUUCUCAAACAUUAAGAAGAUCUAGUAGAGUCUGACAACCAUCUACUAGAUAUCCUGUCAAUGAGUAUAUAUUGACGACUAAAGGGGGAGAACCUGAAAGCUUUGAAGAAGCUAUGGAAAUGAACACAAGAGGAACUGGAUUGAAGCCAUGCAAGAUGGAAUGAAGUCCUUGCAUGAGGGUGAAACAUUUGAGCUGGUGAUGUUGCCCAAAGGCAAGAAAGCUUUGAAGAACAAGUGGGUGUUCAGGAUCAAGCAGGAAGAACACAGCUCCCAACCACGAGUCAAAGCUAGACUGGUUGUGAAAAUGACAUCCAUUCGGACAAUGCUCGGAACGGCCGCCAGUUUUGAUCUGGAAAUCGAGCAAAUGCAUGGAAAGACUACCUUCCUAUAUGGAGAUUUGGAAUAAGAAAUAUACAUAGAGCAGUCAGAGGAUUUGGUAGAAAAAGAGGAUUGUGUUUGCAAACUGAAGAAGAGCCUGUAUGGCUUGAAGCAGGCACUGAGACAUAGCUAAGUAAGUCUUUUGCAUUGAAAGACUCGGGACUAGCAAAGCAAAUUCUUGGCAUGAAGAUCGAAAAGCCAAGAAAUUAUGGUUGUCACAGGAGAAGUACGUUGAGAGAGUACUUCAAAGGUUUAGAAUGGAGAAUGCUAACGUGUCGUGGCAGUCAAGAUUAUUGAAGCGUGCAAAGAGUUGCUGUGUAACAACAGAACCAAGACCGAAAAAAGAUCUACAGGUGGUGUCUUGUGUCGAAAGUCUUCCCGACAAAAGGAGGUCGGGCGGCGUGUCCCGAAAAGUUGUAGCGGCGGUACAAGAUGGUGAGCAGAUCUAAUAGAUUAUAGCUGCAGGGGAGAUGAUGGCUAACGUCUCCACUUGAGUGUGCAGGGGGAGAUUUGUUGUGCGGUGCCCACUCAAAUGGGACCCACAUGUGUGAAAGUAAGAACAAAAUAGGAGCAGCCAGUUCAAUAGUGAUGGCUUUGAAUUGCUGCACAUGGGCGGUGCAACUUGAAUGAGUUGUACACGGCUCAUUAAACGCGUUCCUACGCGUUAACCUGCCUAUAAAUAGAGGCAGAUGCACCUCAGUUUAGACACACCAGAAACGAGAGAAACAAAAUGUAGAGAGAGAGGUUAUCUAGUUUCCUAAAACUAGGGGAGAGAAAAAUAGUGAGGAAAUUAUUAUGGAGUGUUUUUGGAAAACACUGUGAGUGCCACUAUUUUUGUAUUACUCUCUUUGUAUACCUACUAUUUUUAAUAGUGGAAGAAAAAUAUUCGGAGUUUGUCCCGUGGACGUAGCUCUAAACAGUCGAGGGUGAACCACGUAAAUUUCUGUGUGUCACAAGUUUAUUAUUCCACUGCGUUAAUUUUCUCUUACUCGGUUGAAAGGGCCCAACGAGUGGUAUCAGAGCUGAUGCCCAACAACUGGUAUCAGAGUCGAUAUCCUAACAAAAGGCACAAUGUUUUAUGCCAUUGAUUAUUGUAAUAUUGUCCAUUAUAAUUUGUAAUACGAAUUCAUGAAUUCCUUACACGAUCUCACAUAAUUUCAAAGUAUUCUAUUAUCUCAAUCUUUUAUCUUAUGAGCAAUAACAUUAUUCAAACUUGGUAAACUUAUUGGAUUUCUUAUUAAUUAAAUUUAAUUAAAAUAUAAUUGAAUAUUUGACCAUGAUUAAUCAAACUAAUAUAAUAUUCAAUAAUAUAUAAAGAAUUACCUUUUUAAUGUAAGCAAAUUAAAAAUCACGGAUCUUAAAUUUUAUCGUGGCUAUAAGUUAUCCCGACCCACUUUAAACUAUUUGAUUAAGAAUGUGACAGUACGAAAUCAAAGCAGUAGAAUGAAUUAUGAUAAUAACGCAUUAUAAAAUAAUAAAAAAAUAAAAAAAUAUAAAGAGAGAAUACGAGAAAAUGCAAGAGUGUCAAUUCUAUUGAUGAGAAUCCAUACAUACAUAGAUAUAUAAUUAUAAAUUUAAUAUGAAAAAUAGAGUCGCAUAUAAAUUAAGAAAAUAGAGUUUUUAAUAAUUAAAAAUACAAAUUUAUAACAGUACAGACAUUCGUUAAUUUCAUAACACAGCUACGAUUAAGUUAAGGUUUUUAAAUACCCAUAAAAUUCCAUACAAAUUACAGAAUGAACCAGUUGGCUGCUAGUGGAACUAUAUCUAUGCUUGGAAGAAUUAUUAAUCGUGAAUCAUGCAUUGGAUCUUGUGCCGUUCCUCGCCCAUUCAGCUGUCGCUCUGUCCUCCCUCCUCUUCGUGUAUCCCUCGAAGAACUCCUUGUUCUCUUUCUCCAACUCCUUCCAUACUGUCACACGCAAAUACCAUUAUAUGAUUAUCAUCUCUAUAUCUCAUCAUAUGAUCCUAAUAUCCCAUGCCAUCAUAAUUGAAAUCGAUUAUGUUAUUGCUUGUACAAAAUUAUUUAAGAUUUAAUUUCUGUAAAAAAAAAGUUAGAUUUUAUAUAAAAAACGAUUUUGUUGAUUAAAUAUAAAAUUGUACUAAAAUAAGUGUAUAUAUUAUUUAAUAUAUUUAUACUAAAAUAAAUAAAAAUUUAAAUUCAAUGGCUGACAAAGUAUUUUUAUUUAAGAUUUAAAUUCUAAUGAUUAGAUAUAGAAUUAAUUUUCUUUUUGAUGGAAUAGAAUUUAAAGUUAAAAAAAGAGAAUUCAUUAAAUAAAAUUUUAUUUCCGCCUUGUUAAAAUUUUGAAUUUUUUCAUGAAGAAGUCUUAAAUUUGAAUUUUAAGUGAGACAUAAAAAAAAAAAAUCAUGAUUUAGGAAAGUUUAAAUUUAAAUAUAUGUUAUGAUCAUGUUCACAUAAUUUAUUAUUUUUUUACUUGUUAGAUUAAAAAAGAGAAAAAAUAGUAAAUUUAAAAUAAAAAAAAAAUACUAACCUGUGGAAGUGAUCACAGGUUUGAUGUUGGCAUGCUUGGAAAGAGCUUCCAUGCACUCUUCUUUGCUCAUGUUAAAUAGGAUACACUCUUCUAUCAGAUGGUGGACCUGCCAACCCACCACCACCAUCAUCAUCAUCAUCAUAUCAUAUAAAUAUCAGAAUACCAGUAAAAACUAUAUAUACCGUGUGGAUAUAAGAAGCAGCUGCAGAAGAGUCGCCCAUGGCCUCGCCUCUACUUAGUGUCAUUAAGCCCUAGCUAGAGUUAAAGAUUCCAGAGGUAAAGAAUAAUCUGUAUGUAGAAUCAAAAAAUAAAUUAAAGAAAAAUAAAUAUUCAACACACAGAAGAGGAGAGCAAGAAGGCGGAGAAGAAUUAAGAAAAGCCAAAAGGGUCCGAAUUACGAAAAUCACAAAUCCUCCCUUAACAAUGUAAGACGGUACUCCAAAAUGAAAGAGACAAAAAUGACCGUAAUGACAUCGUGGUAAGUUGUGGGGCCCAAAUUCCCACGUGAGACGAGAAUUAUUAUUGGUGGAGAAAAGAUUAGGGGGGACCUUAAAAGUAGCCUUUCGGAAAUUAUUUGCUGGAUAGGUGUACGAUGAAAUCAAACCAUUGAAAUCAAAGAUUUCUUAAAUAGUAUUUUGAUUUUUUUCCUUCCAAAUGUACAGUAAAAAAUACUCUAACUUUAAUAAAAAUUAAUGUUAGAACUCACGUGAUAUAUAGAAUAAUAUUAAAUGAUGAAAUAAUAUUUUAUAAUAUCAUUCAAAAAUAGCUAAAUUAUAUAAUAAAAUAAUAAAUUGUAUCUCAUUAAGAUGUACUGAAAAAUUGUAAUGCUAAGAUAUGCCUUUUUAAGUAUCAUGAGAAACCUUUUAUAAGGUAUGCAAUAGCAAAAGCCACACAUAGUAUGACCUAUAUAAAAAAUACAUGCACACUAUUAAAGUAUUUUUCAAUAAUGAUAAAAAUUUUGAGAAUUUAAACAAUUAUAUUAAAAUAAAAAUUAAGUAUUUUUUAUUUUAUGUUUAUGAUUAUAGUAAAUAAUUGUUUAUUUAUUUGAAAUAUUAAUGUAUUGCUUAUUCAGUGUAGUGUGUCUUAAGCGUAUAAAUAUCCUACUUUUUUAAAAAUUUAUCGUGUAUUAAAUACGUUCCCAUAUCUCAUGUACCGUGUCCGUGGAAUCCAACUCUUAAUAUAUGAGACUACUUCAUACACUAAGCUAAUCGAUCAAGAUUUUUUUUUUUUAUUAUCAAUAAAAAAUGAAGUGCAUUUUUUUAAUUUGUUUUUCUGCUAUUGAAAUAGGAAAUUAAGUUUUUAUUUUAUAUUUAUAAUUUAUUAUAAAUAAUUAUUUAUUUAUUUAAAAUAUUAAUGUAUUACUUAUUCAGUGUAAUUUGUUCUAAGCGUAUGAAUGUUCUACUUUUUUAAAAAAUUAUUGUAUACCGUAUAUUUUUAUAUCUUGUGUCCUAUGUCCAUGCAACAUAACUCCUGAUAUAUGAGACUACUUCAUACAACAAGCUAAUCAACCAAUAUUUUUUCUUAUUACCAAUAAAAAAUGAAGUGUUUUUUUUUAAAUUUAUUUUCGUGUCAUUGAAAUAAGAAAUUAUGUAUUUUUUUUAUACUCAUAAUUUAUUAUAAAUGAUUGUUUAUUUAUUUGAAAUAUUAAUAUAUUACUUAUUUAGUGUUCUAUGUUCUAAGCGUGUAGAUAUCUUACAUUUUUUAAAAAUUAUAAUACCCCGUACAUUCUUGUAUCUCGUGUCCCGUCUCUCUGCAACCUAACUCCUAGUAUAUGAGAUUAUUCAAUACACCAAGCUAAUCGACCGAUGUUUUUUUAUUAUUAUUACCAAUAUAAAAUAACUGUUUUUUGUUCUAAAUUUCUUUUUGUGUCAUUGAAAUAAGAAAUUAUUAUUUUUUAUUUUAUGUUUAUAAUUUAUUAUAAACGAUUAUUUCUUUAUUUGAAAUAUUAAUGUAUUACUUAUUUAGUGUAGUAUAUUCUAAGCGUGUCAAUGUCCUACUUUUUUAAAAAUUAUCAUAUCUCAUAUUUUCCAAUUUAUAUUUUUAAAUUGUUUAUAUAUUAUUUAUUUAAUAGUAAUAUAUUGUUUAUUCACACUUUUUAAAGUAGUAUGGAUUACUUAUUAAUUGAUUUGUAAGGAGAAAUAAAUUUAUAUUAAUUUAUUAAAUGCUAGAGAUAAUCUUUUUUAUAGAUAUUAUUUUGAUAAAGAGAUCAUUUGAAAAUAUAAAACAACUGAUCUUCUUACAAUCGUUGUAAAUUGUGUGAGAAUUCUAACAUGUCAUUCUAUAAUCCAAAUUACUGUCAAGUGAUAAAUUGUGUUAGAAUUCUAAUAUCCGUCUAUACUCCAAAAUAAUACCAAGUGGCAAAUUGUGCUACUUACACAUGGCUUCCAUAUAAGGCAAACUAUCCUACUUUUUUAUACUAUAUAGAUCCUUAAUUUCAUUGCUUUAGUCCAUAAAUAGGCCAUGAAUCCAGUUUAAGUUUUUCUUGCGCGUUUAUUUAUCUUUUUAAGUGGUUUAUUUGUCUUUUUUAAGUGGUUUAUUUGUCUUUUUUUAAGUGGUUUAUUAUGCACGUUGGGAUGACAAGCCAAUAUUUUAUCUCCUCAUCUUUUCUUUUAAGUCCAUCAAACCUAAUUUUAGUUUGGAGCUAUCUCCGUUAAUAAGCACUAUCUCUCUACUUUUCAUUUUUUCUUUCGCCGCUCAUCUUUUAGUCGCUUUUAAUAAAUUUAGAUCUAUUUUUCUCUAACAUAUUUUUUUCUUUCUUUUUUUUUUUAUUAUUUUGUAUACAUAUUUGAAUUUUUUUUGCGAGUUUGAUCACUUGUUUAUGAGUUUGGUACUAAAUAAAGAUAUUAUAUUUGUUUUUAUUUUGUCAGAGAAUUUAAAUCUUAAUUUAUAGAUGUAUAUUUUCAAUCAAUAGAGUUUAGUAAUGCAGUUUGUUGCUUCAUUGAUGUUAUUAUAUAGUGGCAGAAAUUCAUCUAUGUAUGUCAUAAUAAUAAUUCUUUGGAAAAACAAUCUAAGUAUAGAAGAUUUAGAAAAAUUAUUUUAUCGUUCAAGUUAAUUAAAGAAUUAGUUACUACUAUAAAGACUUUUAUUUAUUGCCAAGGUCAUCUUUAAGUAGAACAAUCUAAUGGCUUCUUUUAAUUUUAGUUUUAAUAUUAAAAAAAAAUAGUUCUUUUGAUUUAUUAAAACAUCAUUUAACUUCUUAUUAAUUAUAAUUAUAAAUUCUAUAUUUAAUUUAGCUAAGUAUUUAUAAUAUUUAAUAUAAAAAAAAGUGGUUUAUUAUGCCACCCUCCACGUGAUAUGUGGGCGCAACACCCUCGAAAUUUUCCUCCUUUAACCAACUUCAGUAUAUAUUCUUCAAUCUAUUUGGAAAAAUUUACUAACGCACCCUUGCACAAUGGCAUAAUAAACUAGUCUGUCUUUAUUUUUUUAAAAAUACAUCAAAAUAUUCUUAUAUUUUAAUUUUAUUAUAUAUCGUAUAGUCCUUCCCUCUGAUUUUAAUCACAAAAUCCAUUGGUCAAUGCAUAGUCUUCUUAGAAGAGAGGACAAAUGUAUCUUCAUAAUGGAUAUCUAUCUUUCCACAAGAUAGGAUUAAAAGAGUACUUCAUAGUUUGAGGAGACGCCAUUAGAUUUACUCAAUCUGCUUUCUCAUAUCUUCCAAAUUCCAAAUUCACAGCUUGCAUAUAAGUUCAAAGAACUGAACUUCAAAGCAAUCAGAAUGCUUCCAUGAGAAAUGAAAACUAGCUAGUUACAUACAAUCAGUUUGGAAUAAAUGAUUUCCACAAAAUUCAUUUGAAAAUUCAAAAUUUUAUAUUUAAAAUGAAAAAAAAAACAUGGAUUUAAAUUCUAUGAAAUUGGGUAAACAUUUUUAUUGACUAGCAGCAUGCCUGUCCUAUGCACAGUAUAUAUCUUUAUCUAUAAUCUUAGAGAUAUUGUGAUAAUAUUUUAAAUUUAAUUAAAAAAAUUAUAAUUUAAAAUAUUUUUAAUUUUAUAUUUAUUAAUUUCGUUGAAAAUUAUUUAAAUUAAAGAACAUCUAUUUCAAAUUCCAAACAUUAGACUAAUUAUAUAAAAAUUAAUGUCUAUAAUAAAAUUGAAAGAAAAGGAAAUAUAUAUUAAAAAUCAUUGAUUUUAAUUUAUUUUUAAAUUAAUAAAAUUUCUUAGACGAUAAUAAAAAUAAUAAAAUAAAUAAAUUAAAAUGGACAAUAGAAAUUUAAUCAUAGAUGUAUAUAUAUUAUUUUUAAUGAUAAUUUCAUAUAAACCGUUUUCUCUUAUGAUUUAUCAAAGUUUUUCUAAUUUGAUAGAGUAAUAGAAAUUAGAAGAGAAAAAAAAAUAUAUCAAUGUCAAAAAGAAAUUGUAUAAGAAUUAUUGAAAUUAUAAAAAAAAAUUUAUUUUACCAAACCUCAAAGAGCUCUCUCUAUUUAUAGUUUAGUAAUAAGCAAUUAAUGGCAAUUCAAUAUAUUAUCAUUAAAACUAAUAAAAAAACUAUAUAUUGCAAUUUUAAGACAAAUAAAUAUUGAAACGUUUAGAUAUUCAUUAUUAUUAAAACUAUUAAUAAAUAUUUUCACCAUUAACCUCCUAUAUCAUUCCUUUAAAUAUAAAAUUUUCAUUUUCAUUUGUAAUAAUAAAUGAUAACUAUAAUUGAUUAUAAUGAUAUUCAAGGUCAAUAUUAUAAUAAUAUAAAUUUAAAAGAUAAGUUAUAAUACAUAUUAAUAUGAUAAUUGAAUGGCAAUUAAGAUCGAUAUUAUGUAAUUUUAAUUGAGAAAGAUAGGUUACAAUAUUAUAAUAAUUAUAAUUAUUUACUAAUAUGUAUUAGUUAUGAUAAUUGAAUGAUAGUUCAAUAUUUAUAUAACAAUAUAACUAAUAAUUAAAUUCUAUAUAACACUAUCAAAAUUUAAGAGUCAUACGUGGCAUUAUAAUCUCAUAUGUCAUCACCAAAAAUUUUAUGUGACAAGAGCAUUCAUUUAAGAAGUGCCACAUGUCAACUUCUUGGGAAAAAAAGAUUGCUUUAUAUAUAUAUAUUUAUAUAUAUAUAUAUAUAUAUAUAUAUAUAUAUAUAUAUAUGGCUAACGUCUCCACUCAAGUGUGCAAGGGGAGAUUUGCUGUGGUGGUGCCCACUCAAGUGGGACCCACACACAAAUGAAAAGGAAAAAACAAAAAGAAACGUGUUAUUUGAAACAGAAGAAAUGUUGGCAACCAACCAUGACUAAAUGGAAAGCCGUGUGUGACUCACACACGGCUCUCACAUCACCUCUCCUAUAAAUAGGAGAUGACUCAGCUCAUUUCAAGACACACAGAAGAAAGAAGAGAGAAAAUGUAGCGAGAGAGUUUUUUAGUUUUAGGAUGGAUUUCCUAAAACUAGGGGAGAGAAAAAUAGUGAGAAUUAUUUUGGGGUGUUUUUGGGAAACACUUUGUGUUCCACUAUUUUUGUAUUACUCUCUCUGGGUACCUACUAUUUUAAUAGUAGAAGAAUUAUUCGGAGUUUGUCCCGUAGACGUAGCCCUAAACAGUUGAGAGUGAACCACGUAAAUUUCUGUGUGUCCCAUUUUUAUUUUUCCGCUGCGUUAAUGUCAUAGCCCUACCCUUGGUAAGUAUUGUCCGCUUUGGCAUAGUCCCCGGAUGUCCCUACACCUCACGGUUUUGUCCCUUUGAGCCAGGGGUCACCCACUCUCCCAACUCAAAAGGCGCCUACCAAAGUUAGAGACUACCCCUCUUAUGUAUAGAUCGUUUACCUCGUCCGUAGCCGAUGUGGGAUUCGCCUAAGGUGAUGCCCCCUGAUGUCCAGGAUGUCACAGUUAAUCUUCUCUUAAUUGGUUGAAAGGGCCCAACAAGUGGUAUCAGAGCC